This 675-nucleotide ribosomal RNA is filed under the name uncultured bacterium. Its description in RNAcentral is "bacterial SSU rRNA". It matches the Rfam family "Bacterial small subunit ribosomal RNA", at positions 135 to 809 of the family's 1533-position model. The record is from RNAcentral.
ACUCGGGGAUAGCCUUUCGAAAGAAAGAUUAAUACCCGAUGGCAUAGUUCUUCCGCAUGGUAGAACUAUUAAAGAAUUUCGGUCAUCGAUGGGGGUGCGUUCCAUUAGGUUGUUGGCGGGGUAACGGCCCACCAAGCCUUCGAUGGAUAGGGGUUCUGAGAGGAAGGUCCCCCACAUUGGAACUGAGACACGGUCCAAACUCCUACGGGAGGCAGCAGUGAGGAAUAUUGGUCAAUGGACGAGAGUCUGAACCAGCCAAGUAGCGUGAAGGAUGACUGCCCUAUGGGUUGUAAACUUCUUUUAUACGGGAAUAAAGUGAGGCACGUGUGCCUUUUUGUAUGUACCGUAUGAAUAAGGAUCGGCUAACUCCGUGCCAGCAGCCGCGGUAAUACGGAGGAUCCGAGCGUUAUCCGGAUUUAUUGGGUUUAAAGGGAGCGUAGGCGGACGCUUAAGUCAGUUGUGAAAGUUUGCGGCUCAACCGUAAAAUUGCAGUUGAUACUGGGUGUCUUGAGUACAGUAGAGGCAGGCGGAAUUCGUGGUGUAGCGGUGAAAUGCUUAGAUAUCACGAAGAACUCCGAUUGCGAAGGCAGCUUGCUGGACUGUAACUGACGCUGAUGCUCGAAAGUGUGGGUAUCAAACAGGAUUAGAUACCCUGGUAGUCCACACAGUAAACGA